This is an unclassified non-coding RNA of Macaca fascicularis (crab-eating macaque), 149 nucleotides long. It matches the Rfam family "Metazoan signal recognition particle RNA". Rfam says of the family: The signal recognition particle (SRP) is a universally conserved ribonucleoprotein. It is involved in the co-translational targeting of proteins to membranes. Lineage: Eukaryota; Metazoa; Chordata; Mammalia; Primates; Cercopithecidae. The record is from Ensembl.
GCCGGGUGUGGCGGUGCGUGCCUGUAGUCUGAGCUACUCAGGAGGCUGAGGCAGGAGAAUUGCUUGAACCUAGGAGGCAUGAGGUUGCAGUGAGCCAAGAUGGCACCAUUGCACUCCAGCCUAAGUAACAGAGUAAGACUCUGUCUCAA